This 953-nucleotide long non-coding RNA is filed under the name Gossypium barbadense (sea-island cotton). RNAcentral's name for it is "long non-coding RNA (GBAR_LNC022125)". The record is from RNAcentral. Lineage: Eukaryota; Viridiplantae; Streptophyta; Magnoliopsida; Malvales; Malvaceae.
AGAAUAUGCACAGUGCCUAGAUAUUGCGGUAAGAUGAACAUAAAGUUCCCAUUCUUCAUCCAGGGUCGAGACGAUCCUAGAUGUGGCUAUCCGGGUUUCGAAAUCCACUGCAGAAAUAACUCGCUGCCAUCGAUUAGCUUUGGUGAUGGUGACUACAUCAUCAAUGACAUCUAUUAUCAUAACCAAUCAUGUCACUUGUCUAGAGCUGUUAGUUUUGAUAAAUAUGCCAUUUGCAGUCAUUCGAUCCGUAAUAUAUCCCUUCUAUCCGACUGGUUUUUUCUCCCUUCGCUCCAAAAUAAAACGUUUUUGUUCUCCAAUUGCAACCUGUCGUCCUCGCAUGAACUUUCACGGUACAAUAUUCAUUGUGCUGCUAAAAAUGAAAGUAAUGCGACGUUGGCACUGUUUAGUAACGAUCCCAUGCUGAAUUUCGCUUCGGAAUAUUGUGAUACAAGGGUGGUGGUGCCUGUGGCUUUUACCAGCGGAGAGGGAAGUCUUGAAGGCAUGCUGAAUAGAGGGUUUAUGGUGGAAUGGAUAACGAGCAACUGUAGCAUUUGUGAGGCGAGUGGUGGUAAGUGUGGAUUUGAUAAUGCUACCCGCCAUUUCAAGUGCUUCUGCAGAGAUAGGCCUCACGCUUGGCACUGUACUCCCAAGAACAAGAACGAAUUGAGGUUCAAGCUGGGCCUGGGACUCGGUAAGCCUACAUCCUAUCUUUCUAUAUUCUGAAAAAUAUUGAUAAAAGGGAAUCGAAAUAUAUACCGAUGAAAAUAUUCUUUAUUUUUAUUAUAUUAAUAAAAUUUAUAUUUUAAAAUGAAAAAUUAAAAUAAAAUAAAAAUUUUAAUAAUUACAUAUUUAAAAAUAACUAAAAUUUAAUAAAAUUUAUGACAAUGAUUACACAUUUAAAAAUAUUAUAAUUUAAUUUAUAAUUAUUAGUUAAAUAAAUAUUGUGCUAAUUU